ACUAAGCGUACACGGUGGAUGCCCUGGCAGUCAGAGGCGAUGAAGGACGUGCUAAUCUGCGAUAAGCGUCGGUGAGGUGAUAUGAACCGUUAUAACCGGCGAUUUCCGAAUGGGGAAACCCAGUGUGUUUCGACACACUAUCAUUAACUGAAUCCAUAGGUUAAUGAGGCGAACCGGGGGAACUGAAACAUCUAAGUACCCCGAGGAAAAGAAAUCAACCGAGAUUCCCCCAGUAGCGGCGAGCGAACGGGGAGGAGCCCAGAGCCUGAAUCAGUGUGUGUGUUAGUGGAAGCGUCUGGAAAGGCACGCGAUACAGGGUGACAGCCCCGUACACAAAAAUGCACAUAUUGUGAGCUCGAUGAGUAGGGCGGGACACGUGGUAUCCUGUCUGAAUAUGGGGGGACCAUCCUCCAAGGCUAAAUACUCCUGACUGACCGAUAGUGAACCAGUACCGUGAGGGAAAGGCGAAAAGAACCCCGGCGAGGGGAGUGAAAAAGAACCUGAAACCGUGUACGUACAAGCAGUGGGAGCCUCUUUUAUGGGGUGACUGCGUACCUUUUGUAUAAUGGGUCAGCGACUUAUAUUCUGUAGCAAGGUUAACCGAAUAGGGGAGCCGAAGGGAAACCGAGUCUUAACUGGGCGUUAAGUUGCAGGGUAUAGACCCGAAACCCGGUGAUCUAGCCAUGGGCAGGUUGAAGGUUGGGUAACACUAACUGGAGGACCGAACCGACUAAUGUUGAAAAAUUAGCGGAUGACUUGUGGCUGGGGGUGAAAGGCCAAUCAAACCGGGAGAUAGCUGGUUCUCCCCGAAAGCUAUUUAGGUAGCGCCUCGUGAAUUCAUCUCCGGGGGUAGAGCACUGUUUCGGCAAGGGGGUCAUCCCGACUUACCAACCCGAUGCAAACUGCGAAUACCGGAGAAUGUUAUCACGGGAGACACACGGCGGGUGCUAACGUCCGUCGUGAAGAGGGAAACAACCCAGACCGCCAGCUAAGGUCCCAAAGUCAUGGUUAAGUGGGAAACGAUGUGGGAAGGCCCAGACAGCCAGGAUGUUGGCUUAGAAGCAGCCAUCAUUUAAAGAAAGCGUAAUAGCUCACUGGUCGAGUCGGCCUGCGCGGAAGAUGUAACGGGGCUAAACCAUGCACCGAAGCUGCGGCAGCGGCACUAUGUGUUGUUGGGUAGGGGAGCGUUCUGUAAGCCUGUGAAGGUGGCCUGUGAGGGUUGCUGGAGGUAUCAGAAGUGCGAAUGCUGACAUAAGUAACGAUAAAGCGGGUGAAAAGCCCGCUCGCCGGAAGACCAAGGGUUCCUGUCCAACGUUAAUCGGGGCAGGGUGAGUCGACCCCUAAGGCGAGGCCGAAAGGCGUAGUCGAUGGGAAACAGGUUAAUAUUCCUGUACUUGGUGUUACUGCGAAGGGGGGACGGAGAAGGCUAUGUUGGCCGGGCGACGGUUGUCCCGGUUUAAGCGUGUAGGCUGGUUUUCCAGGCAAAUCCGGAAAACCAAGGCUGAGGCGUGAUGACGAGGCACUACGGUGCUGAAGUGACAAAUGCCCUGCUUCCAGGAAAAGCCUCUAAGCAUCAGGUAACAUCAAAUCGUACCCCAAACCGACACAGGUGGUCAGGUAGAGAAUACCAAGGCGCUUGAGAGAACUCGGGUGAAGGAACUAGGCAAAAUGGUGCCGUAACUUCGGGAGAAGGCACGCUGAUAUGUAGGUGAAGCGACUUGCUCGUGGAGCUGAAAUCAGUCGAAGAUACCAGCUGGCUGCAACUGUUUAUUAAAAACACAGCACUGUGCAAACACGAAAGUGGACGUAUACGGUGUGACGCCUGCCCGGUGCCGGAAGGUUAAUUGAUGGGGUUAGCGGUAACGCGAAGCUCUUGAUCGAAGCCCCGGUAAACGGCGGCCGUAACUAUAACGGUCCUAAGGUAGCGAAAUUCCUUGUCGGGUAAGUUCCGACCUGCACGAAUGGCGUAAUGAUGGCCAGGCUGUCUCCACCCGAGACUCAGUGAAAUUGAACUCGCUGUGAAGAUGCAGUGUACCCGCGGCAAGACGGAAAGACCCCGUGAACCUUUACUAUAGCUUGACACUGAACAUUGAGCCUUGAUGUGUAGGAUAGGUGGGAGGCUUUGAAGUGUGGACGCCAGUCUGCAUGGAGCCGACCUUGAAAUACCACCCUUUAAUGUUUGAUGUUCUAACGUUGGCCCGUAAUCCGGGUUGCGGACAGUGUCUGGUGGGUAGUUUGACUGGGGCGGUCUCCUCCUAAAGAGUAACGGAGGAGCACGAAGGUUGGCUAAUCCUGGUCGGACAUCAGGAGGUUAGUGCAAUGGCAUAAGCCAGCUUGACUGCGAGCGUGACGGCGCGAGCAGGUGCGAAAGCAGGUCAUAGUGAUCCGGUGGUUCUGAAUGGAAGGGCCAUCGCUCAACGGAUAAAAGGUACUCCGGGGAUAACAGGCUGAUACCGCCCAAGAGUUCAUAUCGACGGCGGUGUUUGGCACCUCGAUGUCGGCUCAUCACAUCCUGGGGCUGAAGUAGGUCCCAAGGGUAUGGCUGUUCGCCAUUUAAAGUGGUACGCGAGCUGGGUUUAGAACGUCGUGAGACAGUUCGGUCCCUAUCUGCCGUGGGCGCUGGAGAACUGAGGGGGGCUGCUCCUAGUACGAGAGGACCGGAGUGGACGCAUCACUGGUGUUCGGGUUGUCAUGCCAAUGGCACUGCCCGGUAGCUAAAUGCGGAAGAGAUAAGUGCUGAAAGCAUCUAAGCACGAAACUUGCCCCGAGAUGAGUUCUCCCUGACUCCUUGAGAGUCCUGAAGGAACGUUGAAGACGACGACGUUGAUAGGCCGGGUGUGUAAGCGCAGCGAUGCGUUGAGCUAACCGGUACUAAUGAACCGUGAGGCUUAACC
RNAcentral lists this ribosomal RNA (2894 nucleotides) under Escherichia coli. RNAcentral describes it as "bacterial LSU rRNA". It matches the Rfam family "Bacterial large subunit ribosomal RNA". Lineage: Bacteria; Pseudomonadati; Pseudomonadota; Gammaproteobacteria; Enterobacterales; Enterobacteriaceae. The record is from RNAcentral.